GAUUAUAGUACGGCGCAGUCUGCUGGAAUUCGCCUUAAGUUUGAUCCUGGACAGAGUGAACGCUGGCGGCGUGCCUAACACAUGCAAGUCGAACGAGAAACGGGUUUAGUUUACUAAACUGCAGUCUAAGUGGCGCACGGGUGAGUAAUGUAUAGUUAACCUGCCCUCGAGACAGGAAUAACAGUUGGAAACGACUGCUAAUGCCCUAUAUGCCUUUAAGACAUAAGUCUGCAAGGGAAAUGCUUUAAUGCUUGAGAGAUGGGACUGUAUGGUAUCAGAUAGUUGGUGAGGUAAUGGACUACCAAGUCAAUGAAGCCUAACUGGUUUGAGAAGAUGAUCAGUACACACUGGACCUGAGACACGGUCCAAACUCCUACGGGAGGCAGCAGAUGGGGAAUAUUGCACAAUGGAGGCAACUCUGAUGCAGCAACGCCGCGUGGAGGAUGACACAUUUCGGUGCGUAAACUCCUUAAAUAUAGGACAGAUAA
RNAcentral lists this ribosomal RNA (488 nucleotides) under uncultured bacterium. RNAcentral describes it as "bacterial SSU rRNA". It matches the Rfam family "Bacterial small subunit ribosomal RNA", at positions 1 to 452 of the family's 1533-position model. The record is from RNAcentral.